UCUGCAGGUUGAUAUUUAAGUCUUUUGUUAAACCUCCGGGCUCAACCCGGAAUCUGCAAAGGAAACUAUCUAUCUUGAGUAUGGUAGGGGUAAAGGGAAUUUCCAGUGGAGCGGUGAAAUGCGUAGAUAUUGGAAAGAACACCAACAGCGGAGGCACUUUACUGGGCCAGUACUGACACUCAGAGACGAAAGCUAGGGGAGCAAACA
Molecule: ribosomal RNA, 207 nt
Filed under: uncultured bacterium
Lineage: Bacteria
Description: partial 16S ribosomal RNA
Rfam family: Bacterial small subunit ribosomal RNA
Source: RNAcentral